CCACCCCUGGUCAAAACGAACGCAACAUUUACUCCGGAACAAAUCGGGCUUGAGCCCGCGCGUUGUAGGUUGUGUGGUGACUGAGUGACAGCGGCUGCAGUACCGCAUAUCUCGCCACAUGGGUUCGCUGUUGUACUUUCUCUCCUGAAGCCUGGCGCGCCACAGAACAUUCUCUCCGCACGGCUGUUGAAUGUGUACCGCGCGCCCUCACCGUUUCUGUCACACACUCAGACAACGUGAGUACAGAAACCGGUUGUCUUAAAGGCACGAAGAAACACCUGAACGAGCAGAGAUGAGCUGCUGGUCGGUAUCUGACUCGGGUCUCACUCUGAGCACAUCAUUGGUUCUGGUGACAUCCGUUACCAUACCGCACUGAUGACAUCUUAUUUAAGCGCGCAGACAAGACAAGGAAACCUGUACCAUCAGGCUUGUCUGUUCCUGCAUGGAUGAUCAAUAAAUCAACGGCCUCACAGAUAGAACGCAAGAAAGAAAAAGAAAGAGAGAAGAUCAGCAUCUCCAGACAAGAUAAGGCCAUAAGAGGCAAUCCAGUGAAAUUCUGCCCUUUGUAGGAAAAAACGAGCUGCGGCUGUCAGACGCAGAGUCCCUGAGCACACACCGAGCGCCUGUGCUGAGAACACGAUCUGCUGAGGGAAAAAAGGGCAUUUUCAACACUGACAUUU
Sinocyclocheilus rhinocerous is the source of this 680-nucleotide long non-coding RNA. RefSeq lists it as uncharacterized. The record is from RefSeq and is a predicted model, not a curated record. The transcript has 3 exons. NCBI's taxonomy places the organism in Eukaryota, Metazoa, Chordata, Actinopteri, Cypriniformes, Cyprinidae.